CAGCAGCCGCGGUAAUACAGAGGGUGCAAGCGUUAAUCGGAAUUACUGGGCGUAAAGGGCGCGUAGGUGGUUGCGUAAGUGAGAUGUGAAAUCCCCGGGCUUAACCUGGGACGUGCAUCUUAUACUGCGUAACUGGAGUGCAAGAGAGGGUAGUGGAAUUUCCGGUGUAGCGGUGAAAUGCGUAGAUAUCGGAAGGAACACCAGUGGCGAAGGCGGCUACCUGGCUUGACACUGACACUGAGGCGCGAAAGCGUGGGGAGCAAACAGGAUUAGAUACCCCCGUAGUCCCUGUCUCUUAUAC
This 301-nucleotide ribosomal RNA is filed under the name uncultured bacterium. Its description in RNAcentral is "partial 16S ribosomal RNA". It matches the Rfam family "Bacterial small subunit ribosomal RNA", at positions 509 to 807 of the family's 1533-position model. The record is from RNAcentral.